Molecule: ribosomal RNA, 433 nt
Filed under: uncultured bacterium
Lineage: Bacteria
Description: partial 16S ribosomal RNA
Rfam family: Bacterial small subunit ribosomal RNA
Source: RNAcentral
AACGAACGCUGGCGGCAUGCCUAACACAUGCCAGUCGAACGAGACCUUCGGGUCUAGUGGCGCAUGGGUGCGUAACGCGUGGGAACCUGCCCUUAGGUUCGGAAUAACUCCCCGAAAGGGGUGCUAAUACCGGAUAAUGUCCUCGGACCAAAGAUUUAUCGACUUUGGAUGGGCCCGCGUUGGAUUAGCUAGUUGGUAGGGUAAAAGCCUACCAAGGCGACGAUCCAUAGCUGGUCUGAGAGAAUGAUCAGCCACACUGGGACUGAGACACGGCCCAGACUCCUACGCGAGGCAGCAGUGGGGGAUAUUGGACAAUGGGCGAAAGCCUGAUCCAGCAAGGCCGCGUGAGUGAUGAAGGCCUUAGGGAUGUAAAGCUCUUUUACCCGGGAUGAUAAUGACAGUACCGGGAGAAUAAGCUCCGGCUAACUCCGUG